AUUGAACGCUGGCGGCAGGCCUAACACAUGCAAGUCGAGCGGAGGAAGGGAGCUUGCUCCUGGAUUCAGCUGCGGACGGGUGAGUAAUGCCUAGGAAUCUGCCUGGUAGUGGGGGAUAACGUCCGGAAACGUGCGCUAAUACCGCAUACGUCCUGAGGGAGAAAGUGGGGGAUCUUCGUACCUCACGCUAUCAGAUGAUCCUAGGUCGGAUUAGCUAGUUGGUGGGGUAAAGGCCUACCAGGGCUACGAUCCGUAACUGGUCUGAGAGGAUGAUCAGUCACACUGGAACUGAGACACGGUCCAGACUCCUACGGGAGGCAGCAGUGGGGAAUAUUGGACAAUGGGCGAAAGCCUGAUCCAGCCAUGCCGCGUGUGUGAAGAAGGUCUUCGGAUUGUAAAGAACUUUAAGUUGGGAGGAAGGGCAGUAAGUUCAUACCUUGCUGUUCUGACGUUACCAACAGAAUAAGCACCGGCUAACUUCGUG
RNAcentral lists this ribosomal RNA (484 nucleotides) under uncultured bacterium. RNAcentral's name for it is "partial 16S ribosomal RNA". It matches the Rfam family "Bacterial small subunit ribosomal RNA", at positions 30 to 507 of the family's 1533-position model. The record is from RNAcentral.